This is a long non-coding RNA of Equus caballus (horse), 794 nucleotides long. RefSeq lists it as uncharacterized. The record is from RefSeq and is a predicted model, not a curated record. NCBI's taxonomy places the organism in Eukaryota, Metazoa, Chordata, Mammalia, Perissodactyla, Equidae.
AUGGAACUUAAUCUCAACAGUCACCUGAGUUGAAGAUAGAGUUUGAGGAGUCAUCCCAAUAUGGAUAGCAUUUGUUGUAAAUUAGAAGGUGGUAAAAACUUGCCUUUGGAAAAAAGUUUAAAAAUUGCAGUGAGACUUAUGAAUACUCUUCAACUUCACCUGUUGGAAUAAAGGUCUUUCUUGUAAUCAGGAGAUCCUGUUGACAUGAUAAAACAGAAAGAGUCAAAGAGGAUCAGAAAUAAAUGAAAUCUCUGACAACUAAACUGCUUAUGUGUUUAUCCUGUUGACUGAUUCUUUUCUGGAUUGUGCUCCUUGUGGGCAGGUUUAUUCUACAGGCCCCCAUUCAUUCCUCAGGAGUAACGCAGAAGGGACACUGACCAGCACAGCAGAGAGGGAGGUGUUUAAAAUGGAUUCUGUGGGUGUAGAGCCACUGUUUUCCCUGCAAAUGGUCUAGCAAAUCAACAGACUAUGUCCUCCUCUCCUACGUUUUGUCUGACAAGCAGCAUUUUUUUAAUAAAAGACAGGUGAACGAGUAAAUGAAUGCAGUGCAGAUCCAGUGCAGAUAGCUGCCUGCUGGCUGUGUUGGAACCAGGGAGACGUCAAAUGGGUAGGGUAUGAGUCGCUCUCAUCACUCAAACCCAAAGGGUUUCAAAUUUAGUGAUUGUUUUCUAUCUAAUGGCAGAAGGUGCUGAUUCUUCCUUGUUAUCAACAAUAACCCCCUGAAUACACCUGUGAAAGAACUCUCAAGCCCCUUGUGCCUGGGAUUUCUUAUCCUACAGGACACUGUAACCUGG